CCGGCGCACGGGUGAGUAACACGUAUGCAAUCCACCUGUAACAGGGGGAUAACCCGGAGAAAUCCGGACUAAUACCCCAUAAUAUGGGCGCUCCGCAUGGAGAGCCCAUUAAAGAGAGCAAUUUUGGUUACAGACGAGCAUGCGCUCCAUUAACCAGUUGGCGGGGUAACGGCCCACCAAAGCGACGAUGGAUAGGGGUUCUGAGAGGAAGGUCCCCCACAUUGGAACUGAGACACGGUCCAA
RNAcentral lists this ribosomal RNA (243 nucleotides) under uncultured bacterium. Its description in RNAcentral is "partial 16S ribosomal RNA". It matches the Rfam family "Bacterial small subunit ribosomal RNA", at positions 95 to 334 of the family's 1533-position model. The record is from RNAcentral.